This 538-nucleotide long non-coding RNA is filed under the name Betta splendens (Siamese fighting fish). RNAcentral describes it as "lncRNA (ENSBSLG00000005738.1)". Lineage: Eukaryota; Metazoa; Chordata; Actinopteri; Anabantiformes; Osphronemidae. The record is from RNAcentral.
CUAGGCUCCGCAGAUCCUCAGAUCAUCACCUUUUAACUGGCCGGGGAGAGGAGAUUCUUCUGCAGUACUGUUACAUGCCUUCCAGCUUCGAGACAUGCCUUCAAGAUGCUCAGUCCAUCUGGAUCCACAGUGGUCUCUGGAGAGCAAACAACCAGGAAGGAACUCAUAACCCCCCUCCUCCCCCCUCCUCCCCCCGUCUGGCAGAGACCUCUCCCGCUCGUCUCCCCUCUCUCUUGCUGUCUUCUUUCGUUCCGUCGCACCUCGUGAGCUAUCACUGUGCCACCCGCCGCCACAGACCUUUCGCAUCCUCCCUCGACGCUGCGGCCAUUUAACAAAGGCUUUACUCUCGAGUGACCACUACGCUGGUGUAUUUUCCGCAUUCCGCCGAACGUCGCGGCUCGAGUUUAUGAGUUGUUGCCUCCUCCAUCACAUUGUCUAUUCGCACAGGCCAUAUGUAGGCCACAGAAACAGAGCCAGCGGAGAAGAUGUCCUAUUCCCUGUUAUCAUCUGUUGGAAAAUAAAUAUCUGAGCAUGUCCA